This 415-nucleotide ribosomal RNA is filed under the name uncultured bacterium. RNAcentral describes it as "bacterial SSU rRNA". It matches the Rfam family "Bacterial small subunit ribosomal RNA", at positions 130 to 518 of the family's 1533-position model. The record is from RNAcentral.
CUUCAUGUCUGGAAUAAUACGCCGAAAGGGGUACGUAAUACCGGAUAUUCUUGCGUUUUCAUAAGUUAUGCAAGCAAAGGUGGCCUCUGCAUAUGCUACUGCAUGAAGAGGGGUCUGCGUACCAUUAGCUAGUAGGUGGGGUAAUGGCCUACCUAGGCGACGAUGGUUAGACGGGUCUGAGAGGAUGAUCCGCCACACUGGCACUGGAACACGGGCCAGACUCCGUACGGGAGGCAGCAGUGAGGAAUAUUGCGCAAUGGGGGAAACCCUGACGCAGCGGACGCCGCGUGAGUGAAGGAAGGCCUUCGGGUCGUAAAGCUCUGUCAAGAGGAAAGAAGUGCACAAUGGCUAAUACCUGUUGUAUUUGACGGUACCUCUAAAGGAAGCCACCGGCUAACUCCGUGCCAGCCGCCGC